This 497-nucleotide ribosomal RNA is filed under the name uncultured bacterium. RNAcentral's name for it is "partial 16S ribosomal RNA". It matches the Rfam family "Bacterial small subunit ribosomal RNA", at positions 28 to 507 of the family's 1533-position model. The record is from RNAcentral.
GAUGAACGCUGGCGGCGUGCCUAAUACAUGCGAGUCGAGCGAACGGACGAGAAGCUUGCUUCUCUGAUGUUAGCGGCGGACGGGUGAGUAACACGUGGAUAACCUACCUAUAAGACUGGGAUAACUUCGGGAAACCGGAGCUAAUACCGGAUAAUAUUUUGAACCGCAUGGUUCAAAAGUGAAAGACGGCCUUGCUGUCACUUAUAGCUGGAUCCGCGCUGCAUUAGCUAGUUGGUAAGGUAACGGCUUACCAAGGCAACGAUGCGUAUCCGACCUGAGAGGGUGAUCGGCCACACUGGAACUGGGACACGGUCCAGGCUCCUACGGGAGGCAGCAGUAGGGAAUCUUCCGCAAUGGGCGGGAGCCUGACGGAGCAACGCCGCGUGAGUGAUGAAGGUCUUCGGAUCGUAAAACUCUGUUAUUAGGGAAGAACAUAUGUGUAAGUAACUGUGCACAUCUUGACGGUACCUAAUCAAAAAGCCACGGCUAACUACGUG